RNAcentral lists this long non-coding RNA (258 nucleotides) under Parus major (Great Tit). Its description in RNAcentral is "lncRNA (ENSPMJG00000019422.1)". Lineage: Eukaryota; Metazoa; Chordata; Aves; Passeriformes; Paridae. The record is from RNAcentral.
AUGUCAAAAGACAGGCUGUCUCUGACAGAAGAAUACAGUUCAUCAAAAGUGUCUGCAGGUUGUCAAACUCGUUGUAGAUGUUGGAACUCAAUUUAUCCAGAAACUGGGGAGGACCUGAACUGGCUCAAGCCGUUCUGAAAGAGAGAAGAAGCAGCACAACCAUCCUCUAACAAAAAUGCCUAGGCGGCAUUAGCCACAGCGGCUGACAACGCGGCUGAACGUAUGCGGACAAGCUGCUCUCCCCGAGCAGGCGGGCUC